Lepus europaeus (European hare) is the source of this 116-nucleotide small nuclear RNA. RefSeq annotates it as U5 spliceosomal RNA. The transcript has a single exon. The record is from RefSeq and is a predicted model, not a curated record. NCBI's taxonomy places the organism in Eukaryota, Metazoa, Chordata, Mammalia, Lagomorpha, Leporidae.
AUACUCUGGUUUCUCUUCAGAUUGUAUAAAUCUUUCGCCUUUUACUAAAGAUUUCCGUGGAGAGUUUUUAAUUUAUUGAUUUUUAUUGAAUUUCAAAUAAAGUUAAAUAGACCAUA